The sequence is a regulatory RNA element, 56 nucleotides long. It matches the Rfam family "pemK RNA". The record is from Rfam.
AUAAUGAUACUUCUGCGAAGCUCCGACGUCACAAGGGAGAGGUGAAAUGCCUAUGU